Molecule: long non-coding RNA, 1047 nt
Filed under: Marmota monax (woodchuck)
Lineage: Eukaryota; Metazoa; Chordata; Mammalia; Rodentia; Sciuridae
Source: RNAcentral
UCCUGCCUUCCCUCCUUCUUCCAUGGGUCCGUCUGUCCAUCAGCAGGUCUGGGCUCUGGUGUGUCGGUGGCUAAGGGUUCCCAGGCAGGCUGCUCCUAAAUAUGGGCCAGCAGGCGGCCAGGAGACCGACUCAUGCCCUGCAGGUCUUGGCUCCAGGAAGACGAACCCAGAGUCGUACAGUAACAGCAGCUGGCUGCAGGGGGUCGAGCCCAAGUGACUCACCCCCAACUUCCGUGGACCUCCACAGAUUCCACAUUAGCAGCGUAGGACUGUAGUAUUGUGCGUUGGAGAGCUCUUGGAGAGAGUCCAGCCCAGGCCCCCGUGGACGGCAUCUCCAGUGAGCCCCCUUGACACUCAGGAUGUGAGAAAGCAGCCUGCUGAGACGUUCUGUGCAUCACCUCCUGUGUCCCUCUGUCCUGCAGCACAAGGCCGGUCCCUCCCAUAAGGGACAGAGCAUCACACAUUUGAAGGCAGCACCUCAUGCCUGCGGUGGCUGUUCUAGAAGCUGCCCUGGUUCCUUCAGUCAUUCCAUGUACCCUGCUGAAGUCUGUUUGCUUUGCCGUGGUCAGCGUUGACAUUACCCAGCGGAAAAAACGAUGUGAUUCAGAAGUUACUAAAGUGGUGUCUGUAUAAGCCUCAUGAUCAGUUCAGUAAUGACAGAACUGGCAGUGCACCUAUUUCAAGUGUAUGGUUAGGUUCCCCUGGAGUUCCAAUGUAGAGAAGAACACUGGGGGCCCCUUGAACGACUUACCUUCAUGAUGCCCGUUUGCCGAGGGGUCAGGGUCUGUGUCAGCCAGCGUUCAGGAGUGAGGUGUGGGUCACACAUGCAUCAGACAACGGCCAUUUGCUGAGUGCUAAGGAACCUGGGCACCAUGUGGUUUGAGAUUAUUAUGGGCCAAGAUGUUUUAGGGAGAGGGUGAGUUUCAAUUACACUGAAAGUCACCUUCUGAGGAUGUUUCAGGUGUUUAAAAACAUAAAAUCCCAUUAGCCAGGGAAGAUUGUAGGUUUCUUUGAUUUUAACAAUAAAAUAUUUUUUGAGGGGACACC